GAGCCGCGGUAUAUUGACUGUGCUAAGGUAGCAUAAUAAUUUGUCUUUUAAUUGAAGACUAGAAUGAAUGGUUUAACGAGAAAUUGACUUUUUUAAUAGUAAUACUCAAAUUUAAUUUUUUAGUGAAAAAGCUAAAAUAUAAUAAAAAGACGAGAAGACCCUAUAGAGUUUUAUAUUCUAACUAUUUGUUUUUGAAUAUAGCAAGGAUUGCAAAUAGGUAAAAUAUUUUGUUGGGGCGACAUUUAGAUAAAAAAAACUUUUUAUUUUAAAAAUUUUCAUAGAAAAAUUUUUGAUCCUUAAAAAAGAUUAAAAGAAUAAGUUACCUUAGGGAUAACAGCGUAAUCUUUCUUGAGAGUUCUAAUCGACAGAAAGGUUUGCGACCUCGAUGUUGGACUAAAAUUAAACUAAGGUGCAGUAUUCUUAGUAUUAGGUCUGUUCGACCUAUAAAUUUUU
This 453-nucleotide ribosomal RNA is filed under the name Lepas sp. eL12g10_04. Its description in RNAcentral is "partial 16S ribosomal RNA". It matches the Rfam family "Bacterial large subunit ribosomal RNA", at positions 1928 to 2597 of the family's 2925-position model. The record is from RNAcentral. Lineage: Eukaryota; Metazoa; Arthropoda; Thecostraca; Lepadidae.